GACGAACGCUGGCGGCGUGCCUAAUACAUGCAAGUAGAACGCUGAAGAGAGGAGCUUGCUCUUCUUGGGUGAGUUGCGAACGGGUGAGUAACGCGUAGGUAACCUGCCUGGUAGCGGGGGAUAACUAUUGGAAACGAUAGCUAAUACCGCAUAAAAUUGAUUAUUGCAUGAUAAUUAAUUGAAAGAUGCAACUGCAUCACUACCAGAUGGACCUGCGUUGUAUUAGCUAGUUGGUGAGGUAACGGCUCACCAAGGCGACGAUACAUAGCCGACCUGAGAGGGUGAUCGGCCACACUGGGACUGAGACACGGCCCAGACUCCUACGGGAGGCAGCAGUAGGGAAUCUUCGGCAAUGGGGGGAACCCUGACCGAGCAACGCCGCGUGAGUGAAGAAGGUUUUCGGAUCGUAAAGCUCUGUUGUAAGAGAAGAACGGGUGUGAGAGUGGAAAGUUCACACUGUGACGGUAUCUGACCAGAAAGGGACGGCUAACUACGUG
Molecule: ribosomal RNA, 497 nt
Filed under: uncultured bacterium
Lineage: Bacteria
Description: partial 16S ribosomal RNA
Rfam family: Bacterial small subunit ribosomal RNA
Source: RNAcentral